This 253-nucleotide ribosomal RNA is filed under the name uncultured bacterium. RNAcentral describes it as "partial 16S ribosomal RNA". It matches the Rfam family "Bacterial small subunit ribosomal RNA", at positions 524 to 776 of the family's 1533-position model. The record is from RNAcentral.
UACAGAGGGGGCAAGCGUUAUUCGGAAUUAUUGGGCGUAAAGAGCUCGUAGGCGGUUUGUCGCGUCUGCUGUGAAAUCCCGAGGCUCAACCUCGGGUCUGCAGUGGGUACGGGCAGACUGGAGUGCGGUAGGGGAGAAUGGAAUUCCUGGUGUAGCGGUGGAAUGCGCAGAUAUCAGGAGGAACACCGAUGGCGAAGGCAGUUCUCUGGGCCGUAACUGACGCUGAGGAGCGAAAGCGUGGGGAGCGAACAGG